UUCUCGUUCCCCUUCUCUCACGUUUUCUCUUCUCCCAUCCAUCUUCUGACUCUUCAAUGGUUUCAAUGGGUUUUGAUUUUAUCGUUCUCCACAAGAGUUUUCUUCAACAUAUUCUAAAGUUGAAGAGUGUGUACGGAGGUCGAGGUGAAUGAAAACUUUUGUUAAUUUUGCAAUUGUGGUGAACGGAACACAUUGGAAAUUGGGGUGGUGCUGUUCAGGUUUUCUGAAGGGGGUAAUAUUAACUACCAAAGUGCUUGAUACAAUACGGAGAGACGUUCUGCAAAGAACACCUGGAUUUCCAACUGAGGUAUUAAAAUUUUGUUUUUGUAAUGAUUAAUAAUAUUGAUUAGCGCUUAAAAGCUACUCUUUAGUUUUUUUUUCAGAUUCAAAAGCUACCAUUUUAUAAUGAAAAAUCAUAAUUCUGUAAACACUUUAGAUUUUAUAAUGAAAAUGCAUUUUAAGUUUAAUAACAAAAAUAAAUACAGAUGAAGAAAAUGUAACCGUUAGUUUACAGAAGAAAAACAAGAAAUACUUUUUGAGACACUUCUGUGUUUCUGUCAGAAAUCGUCACAUUUCGGGGGGAGUAUCACAAACUCGCCGCGACACUUCUGUCGCUCCGGCCGGAAGUCGUCGAAUAUGAGCACGGUAAAUCUGUCGUUUUGGCCAGAUUUACCAAGGACUUAUUCGAGCAAAAGAGGGAUAACAUGAAAGGUAACAUCGCACGGUAAGUUCAAUUAGUCAAUAAAAUAUGUGUGUUUAGACUGAUUUAGUUAUUUUGCAGGAUAUUUUCUUUUUUGCAGGUAUGAUUCUGUCGCUUUGGUCAGAAUCAAAUCUAUUUUGUCACUUUGGCCCUGAUAGAUCAAGGAUCAUUUUGUCGCUUUGGCCUUAAUGAUCCUAACUCAUCAUUCCUCUUAUUUGCAUUGAUGGGUUAACUGUCGUUGCGGACAUAAAAGUCGCUCUUGAUCGAAGUUGGAUUAUAAAUAUUAGUUCUAUCGCUUUGGCUAGAACUAGAUUUUGUCGCUUUGGCCAGAAUCAUGUCCAUUUUGUCACUUUGGCCUUAAUAGACCAAGAAUUAUUUUGUCCCUUUGGCCUUAAUAAUUCUCUCAUCUUGUCGCUUUGGCCUUGAUGCACAGCCAAAGUCGCUCUUGAUCAGGGUUGGACUAUAAACACGUAGUUAUGUGAUCUAGAACUAGAUUCUGUCCCUUCAGCCAGAAUCAGGUCCAUUUUGUCACUUUGGCCUUAAUGGAUCCGUAAUCAUUGUGUCGAUGUGGCUACAAUGAUUUUAUCCCAUCUUUUCUCUUUGGCCUUGAUGCGGAUCACACACAAUCUUGCUUUGAGGGGAUACUGGCGAUAUCCUCAUAUUUCUUAUACUCUCUUCAGGGAGGAGUACUGGUGAGACAUGCCUGAUUACGUCAAUCACUCCCAG
This 1426-nucleotide long non-coding RNA is filed under the name Zostera marina. RNAcentral's name for it is "long non-coding RNA (ZMAR_LNC001698)". The record is from RNAcentral. Lineage: Eukaryota; Viridiplantae; Streptophyta; Magnoliopsida; Alismatales; Zosteraceae.